This 856-nucleotide long non-coding RNA is filed under the name Arabidopsis lyrata. RNAcentral describes it as "long non-coding RNA (ALYR_LNC001764)". Lineage: Eukaryota; Viridiplantae; Streptophyta; Magnoliopsida; Brassicales; Brassicaceae. The record is from RNAcentral.
AGAGUGUUAAGAUCCGUACGUUAGGUGAAUCACCACCUACUUGGUGAAUGGAGAUUCAUUGAGACAUUUGAUAUUACUCAUGCAAGUGGACAAUUCUGACCAAUCAAUCAUCUCUACAAGAUGGUUUUCUAAACGGAAAUGCAGUAAGAAUGACCCUAAGUAUGCAUCAACUUACUUUCAUGAUGGUUGUUCUGAUUUUAGCUUUCAAUAUAUCAUUACUGAUUCACGAGUGUUUAUUUUUUGUCUAAAUAUUUUAGUACUGUCUAAUGAUGAAAUUCUAGAAGAAGAAGUUCAUGAAGAUUCUGGAAAUAGGAUCAAUCUAGCUUCCACUAUCUCUGGUGACCAACUCCUACUACAAAACUUAAUACUAAUUAUCUAUUUUAUUGUUCUUAACUCAAUAAUCUAAUAAUGAAUUUAAUUUUUUUUUUUAAUCUUUGUUAGGUUCCACUAAUGUUGACUAAGAUUCAAAAGACGACAUUUUAGUUCAUUAUUGGGCGAAUGUUCUGAGCAUUCAUCCAGCACCAAGAAAUUACUUGGAAAAAACUGAUGAAAAAAUUGGUUUUGAAGGCUGCUGAUAAGAAGGAAGAUGUGAACUUCAACAAUGAAAAUAUGACUCAAAGAAGAUUCGUAGUCUUAAAGUCAAGAUUGAGUAGAAAGAGUGAAUUGCUACCGUGGUUUUGGAGUUUUUAUUUGGUUUUCUUUUAUUUUGAUGACUUAGUCUUGCAAUGGUUUACGUAUUUGCUUCAAGUUUGGUUUUCUGGCUUUUCCAAUUGGUUAUUGAAUAAAUUGUGUUUUACAACUUUUCAAAGUUUCUAUUUAGAUUAAUAAUAUAUGUUAAUGUGAAUAUUUCUUCUAA